RNAcentral lists this ribosomal RNA (497 nucleotides) under uncultured bacterium. RNAcentral's name for it is "partial 16S ribosomal RNA". It matches the Rfam family "Bacterial small subunit ribosomal RNA", at positions 28 to 507 of the family's 1533-position model. The record is from RNAcentral.
GAUGAACGCUGGCGGCGUGCCUAAUACAUGCAAGUCGAGCGAACAGACGAGGAGCUUGCUCCUCUGACGUUAGCGGCGGACGGGUGAGUAACACGUGGAUAACCUACCUAUAAGACUGGGAUAACUUCGGGAAACCGGAGCUAAUACCGGAUAAUAUAUUGAACCGCAUGGUUCAAUAGUGAAAGACGGUUUUGCUGUCUCGUAUAGAUGGAUCCGCGCCGCAUUAGCUAGUUGGUAAGGUAACGGCUUACCAAGGCGACGAUGCGUAGCCGACCUGUGAGGGUGAUCGGCCACACUGGAACUGAGACGCGGUCCAGACUACUACGGGAGGCCGCAGUAGGGAAUCUUCCGCAAUGGGCGAAAGCCUGACGGAGCAACGCCGCGUGAGAGAUGAAGGUCUUCGGAUCGUAAAACUCUGUUAUUAGGGAAGAACAAAUGUGUAAGUAGCUAUGCACGUAUUGACGGUACCUAAUCAGAAAGCCACGGCUAACUACGUG